Molecule: long non-coding RNA, 1219 nt
Filed under: Mus pahari (shrew mouse)
Lineage: Eukaryota; Metazoa; Chordata; Mammalia; Rodentia; Muridae
Description: lncRNA (MGP_PahariEiJ_G0006112.1)
Source: RNAcentral
AGUCGAUGUCUUUUCCUGGUGCCUGGGAACCAGCAUGGCUGCUGUAAAGGCCAUGAGCUAUGAGCUUAUGACAAGCCCCAUAGCAAGGAAGCUAAUCCCCAAACUACAGACUGAACCCAAAAAAAACUGUGAGUCAAAAUAAACUUCUGUUUUUUCAAAAUGGGUUCAUUUUGGAUAUUUGUUAUAAUAAUAAAAAAGCAAGCGGAUUAUUUACAGUAGAAACUAUCAAUAAAAUGGAGGGUAACUCCCCCUCUUGAUAGAACUGAAAUUAACUUGUUGAACUCCCAAACCUGGGCUGCUACUCACUACUCUAAAAUAUUAUAGUUUGUGUUUUACUAAAGCCUUUCUUGUUUCUUAGUUUAGAGGGCCAUCCUUUAUUUUGCCAUCAAAACUUUGAAAGCAGAGCACCAUGUCCCCUGUUCCUGCUAUAGCUUCUUCUGCUCACCCUCCUUGGGGACCCAGAGGUCCUGUUAACACCUCAUAAUAAAUCCCCCACCCCAGCACCAGCCAGAGCUUUUGGCUUCCAUGGUUAGCUUGUGUGGCAGUCAACAAUCCCACACUUAAAGUCACUGGUUGACCGAGCAGCAAAGUUGAGGGCCAGCUUUGUGCUCCAGAGGGCAAUAAAUCCAGCCCCACAUGAGCUAUGGAGAAGUGCAGAAACUAUCAUGUUAUCUUAUCACCUGGGCCAUUCAGGUCUUGCAUGAAGAAAUCCCUGGAUCAGAGUCAAAAUCGACUCCAGCCGACAUGUCUUCUAAAUAACCAUUGUUUAUUCAGAGUUUGAUAAUUAAUCAACUCCGCAAACAUUUAUUUAGCGCUUACAGUAUUCCAGGCGUUGAGCUAGUCACAAUGGGGGAACGUAAGUGAACAAGAGUCCCUGUUGUCAGGAUGCCCAGCUAACCAGAUAAUUAAUUAUUUGACAAUGUAUUGAAUAUGCUGGUGGAGACAUGCCCACAGAGUACACAGCAAGGGCAACGAGGCUGGGUGUGGUGACACACACCUGUAAUCCUAGCACGCAGGAUGUAGGCGGUGAAGACAGGAGGACUAAGGAGCCGAGGUCAUCCUCAGCUACACAACAAGUUCAAGGCUAGCUUGGGAUACGUUGAGACCCUGUCUCAGUCUCCCUCUGCCCCUUGCCAAAAGUGCAAUGACCUCAGCUUGCUUGGGGAGCCUAGAGGGGAUAAGAAGUCCCUGGAUGCAACUUUUGGAGUUCAGUUCUGAC